UUCUAUUAGAUAUAAUUAAUAGUAUAAUCUGCUCAAUGAAAAUUUAAUAGCCGCUAAUAGUGCUAAGGUAGCAUAAUCAUUCGUCUUCUAAUUAAAGACUAGAACAAAAGAUUAAACAUUUUAAAUUAUUUCUAAAAUUUAUAUUUUUAAUCUAUUUUAAAAGUAAAAAAACUUUUAUAAAAAAGAAAGACGACAAGACCCUAUUGAACUUUACUAUAGUUUAACUGGGGUAGUUAAUUAAUUAUUAUUUUAAUUUUAAUAUAUAUAUAUAUAUAUAAAUGAUCCAAUUAAUUUGUUCAAUUGAUCAAGUUACCAUAGGGAUAACAGCAUAAUAUAAUAUUAACAGAUCUUAUCAAAAUAUAUGAUUAUGACCUCGAUGUUGAAUAAUAACCUAUUUAUUUAUACGCAAUAGUUAAAAAAGGAAGUCCGUUCGACUUUUAAAAAAUUACA
Molecule: ribosomal RNA, 450 nt
Filed under: Meedo broadwater
Lineage: Eukaryota; Metazoa; Arthropoda; Arachnida; Araneae; Trachycosmidae
Description: partial 16S ribosomal RNA
Source: RNAcentral